This 497-nucleotide ribosomal RNA is filed under the name uncultured bacterium. RNAcentral describes it as "partial 16S ribosomal RNA". It matches the Rfam family "Bacterial small subunit ribosomal RNA", at positions 29 to 507 of the family's 1533-position model. The record is from RNAcentral.
AAUGAACGCUGGCGGCGUGCCUAAUACAUGCAAGUCGAGCGAACGGACGAGAAGCUUGCUUCUCUGAUGUUAGCGGCGGACGGGUGAGUAACACGUGGAUAACCUACCUAUAAGACUGGGAUAACUUCGGGAAACCGGAGCUAAUACCGGAUAAUAUCUUGAACCGCAUGGUUCAAAAGUGAAAGACGGUCUUGCUGUCACUUAUAGAUGGAUCCGCGCUGCAUUAGCUAGUUGGUAAGGUAACGGCUUACCAAGGCAACGAUGCAUAGCCGACCUGAGAGGGUGAUCGGCCACACUGGAACUGAGACACGGUCCAGACUCCUACGGGAGGCAGCAGUAGGGAAUCUUCCGCAAUGGGCGAAAGCCUGACGGAGCAACGCCGCGUGAGUGAUGAAGGUCUUCGGAUCGUAAAACUCUGUUAUUAGGGAAGAACAUAUGUGUAAGUAACUGUGCACAUCUUGACGGUACCUAAUCAGAAAGCCACGGCUAACUACGUG